GCACUCGUGGUGCAGUGGUUAGCAUACCACCUUCCCAUUUGAUACCAUUCAUUGAGUGGUUGAGGAAGAAGGUGGGGGUCGCGAGUUCGAGCCUCGCCGGGUGCA
Molecule: non-coding RNA, 105 nt
Organism: Amniculicola lignicola CBS 123094
Lineage: Eukaryota; Fungi; Ascomycota; Dothideomycetes; Pleosporales; Amniculicolaceae
Source: the annotation of a GenBank genome assembly